Molecule: long non-coding RNA, 856 nt
Filed under: Monodelphis domestica (gray short-tailed opossum)
Lineage: Eukaryota; Metazoa; Chordata; Mammalia; Didelphimorphia; Didelphidae
Description: lncRNA (ENSMODG00000034431.2)
Source: RNAcentral
AACAGUUUUUCAACUGUGAGUCUGAAGCUGGAGGUCAAGACUGAAGGUGUGACUCUGGGACUCUCCCUGGACAAACCCAUCUUUCAAGCUGCCUGCCUUAGAAUAACAUCAAGACAAGGUUGGGAAGAAAUUCUCCAUUCAUUCUGGUGGACAGAGUGAUUUUGGAAAAGAAUUUCUCAUUCCAAGAGUUUCUACGGACUCUUCAACUGGAUUUCUGCUGCUUGACCCACCAAGGACUCUGUGAAUAUUGUUCAGGAGUGUUGGACUUCCCUUCCCUACCUGAAAAGCUAUCAGAAGCAGCUUCAGAUAAUUUGACUAAUAUCCAUUCACUUGUGCUCAAAGGAAUUUGUUUGAGAACUCCUGAAGCUGCUACAGCUUUUGUUGCUCCCGCCUGGUGUCGGUGCUGCUGUUUCAUCCACAUGGGCUCUGGGCCAGCCUCUACCAUGAUGUCACAGAUGAGUGGUCCCUAAAUUUCUAUUAGACUUACUUUGACACCUUGUUAUAGUGAACCUUGAAUUCUUCAAGUUUUUCUAUUGUAGCACAAACUUUCGUACGUACCACCAGCUUAGAAAUGCUUUGUAUAAAAGCCUACUGACAUGCUUUGUGUCUAUUAUCCAAAGACCAAUAUACAUAAAUUCAGAGAUACAUGAAUAGAAUGGAGGGUACCAGGGCAAAGUUUUGGGCCAUAGCAACUAAAGCAGACUAUCUACUUGUGUAAGAAAGGAUGAUAGUCUCUGUCAGGUCAAGGCAUGCCUAGAAAGACUUAAGCAUUAAAUAGGAAAAAGUGAGAUAUUUGACAGUGAUGGAAAUGAAAAGAAAUGGCAAAAAUAAAUUUGUUUUAAAUUGAGGUUAUUCA